This 253-nucleotide ribosomal RNA is filed under the name uncultured bacterium. RNAcentral's name for it is "partial 16S ribosomal RNA". It matches the Rfam family "Bacterial small subunit ribosomal RNA", at positions 524 to 776 of the family's 1533-position model. The record is from RNAcentral.
GACAGAGGUCCCAAGCGUUAGGCGGAAUCAUUGGGCGUAAAGCGCACGUAGGCGGUCUGUUAUGUCGGAUGUGAAAGCCCUUGGCUUAACUGAGGAAGUGCAUCCGAAACUGGCAGGCUAGAGUACUAAAGAGGGUCGCGGAAUUCCCGGUGUAGAGGUGAAAUUCGUAGAUAUCAGGAGGAACACCGGUGGCGAAGGCGGCAUCCUGGACCAACACUGACGCUGAUGAGCGAAAGCCAGGGGAGCAAACGGG